CCUACGGGGGGCAGCAGUGGGGGAUAUUGCACAAUGGGGGCAACCCUGAUGCAGCGACGCCGCGUGAGCGAUGGAGUACUUCGGUGUGUAAAGCUCUGUCAGCAGGGAAGAGAAUGACGGUACCUGACCAAGAAGCCCCGGCUAACUACGUGCCAGCAGCCGCGGUAAUACGUAGGGGGCAAGCGUUAUCCGGAUUUACUGGGUGUAAAGGGAGCGUAGACGGCCAGACAAGUCUGAAGUGAAAAUCCAGCGCUUAACGUUGGAAGUGCUUUGGAAACUGCCGGGCUAGAGUGCAGGAGGGGCAG
This 305-nucleotide ribosomal RNA is filed under the name uncultured bacterium. Its description in RNAcentral is "bacterial SSU rRNA". It matches the Rfam family "Bacterial small subunit ribosomal RNA", at positions 338 to 660 of the family's 1533-position model. The record is from RNAcentral.